RNAcentral lists this transfer RNA (74 nucleotides) under Thermoplasmata archaeon. RNAcentral describes it as "tRNA-Ala". It matches the Rfam family "tRNA". From Rfam's summary of the family: Transfer RNA (tRNA) molecules are approximately 80 nucleotides in length. Their secondary structure includes four short double-helical elements and three loops (D, anti-codon, and T loops). Lineage: Archaea; Methanobacteriati; Thermoplasmatota; Thermoplasmata. RNAcentral also lists the same sequence under 2 other names. The record is from RNAcentral.
GGGCUGAUAGAUCAGCUUGGAAGAUCGCUACCUUCGCAAGGUAGAGGCCGCGGGUUCAAAUCCCGCUCAGUCCA